This 301-nucleotide ribosomal RNA is filed under the name uncultured bacterium. RNAcentral's name for it is "partial 16S ribosomal RNA". It matches the Rfam family "Bacterial small subunit ribosomal RNA", at positions 509 to 807 of the family's 1533-position model. The record is from RNAcentral.
CAGUAGCCGCGGGAAUACGGAGGAUCCGAGCGUUAUCCGGAAUUAUUGGGUUUAAAGGGUGCGUAGGCGGAUAGAUAAGUCAGUGGUGAAAGACGGUGGCUCAACCAUCGCAGUGCCGUUGAUACUGUUUAUCUUGAAUAUGGAUGAGGUAGGCGGAAUGUGGCAAGUAGCGGUGAAAUGCAUAGAUAUGCCACAGAACACCGAUUGCGAAGGCAGCUUACCAAGGCAAAAUUGACGCUGAGGCACGAAAGCGUGGGGAUCGAACAGGAUUAGAUACCCGGGUAGUCCCUGUCUCUUAUAC